This 495-nucleotide ribosomal RNA is filed under the name uncultured bacterium. Its description in RNAcentral is "partial 16S ribosomal RNA". It matches the Rfam family "Bacterial small subunit ribosomal RNA", at positions 28 to 523 of the family's 1533-position model. The record is from RNAcentral.
GAUGAACGCUAGCGGGAGGCCUAACACAUGCAAGCCGAGCGGUAUUGUUUCUUCGGAAAUGAGAGAGCGGCGUACGGGUGCGUAACACGUGUGCAACCUGCCUUUAUCUGGGGGAUAGCCUUUCGAAAGGAAGAUUAAUACUCCAUAAUAUAUUGAACGGCAUCGUUUAAUAUUGAAAGCUUCGGCGGAUAGAGAUGGGCACGCGCAAGAUUAGCUAGUUGGUGAGGUAACGGCUCACCAAGGCGAUGAUCUUUAGGGGGCCUGAGAGGGUGAUCCCCCACACUGGUACUGAGACACGGACCAGACUCCCACGGGAGGCAGCAGUGAGGAAUAUUGGUCAAUGGGUGCAAGCCUGAACCAGCCAUCCCGCGUGAAGGACGACUGCCCUAUGGGUUGUAAACUUCUUUUGUAUAGGGAUAAACCUACCCUCGUGAGGGUAGCUGAAGGUACUAUACGAAUAAGCACCGGCUAACUCCGUGCCAGCCGCCGCCGCAA